Caenorhabditis tropicalis is the source of this 809-nucleotide non-coding RNA. NCBI's taxonomy places the organism in Eukaryota, Metazoa, Nematoda, Chromadorea, Rhabditida, Rhabditidae. The record is from Rfam.
UUGCGGAGUGCUUGUCUACUGCGAGUCAAAGGGUGUCAAAACCUUGCGGCGUAAUGAAAGUAAAGGUCAGUCUCGAAUUGGCCGACGUGGGAUCUGUGCUCUUCGGAGUGCUGCGCACCACGGCCCUAUGCGUGUCACUUGUGACUGUGUAGAGGUUGAGCAGUUGGCAAACGACCCGAAAGAUGGUGAACUAUGCCCGAGCAGGAUGAAGCCAGAGGAAACUCUGGUGGAAGUCCGUAUCGGUUCUGACGUGCAAAUCGAUCGAUAGACUUGGGUAUAGGGGCGAAAGACUAAUCGAACCAUCUAGUAGCUGGUUCCUUCCGAAGUUUCCCUCAGGAUAGCUGGAUCUCUGGCAGUUAUAUUCGGUAAAGCUAAUGAUUAGAGGCCUUGGGGGCGUAAUGCCCUCAACCUAUUCUCAAACUUUCAAUGGAUAUGAAGUUGCAGUUUCUUUAGUGAACUGUCAACGUGAAUGCGAGGUCCAAGUGGGCCAUUUUUGGUAAGCAGAACUGGCGCUGUGGGAUGAACCAAACGUGGAGUUAAGGCUGCUGUACCGUACAUCCGCCUUGGCCGUACAGCAGACGAUAGUCUUAAUGAUCACAGCUCCGUCGGCUGUGGCGCCAACCAACACAUACGCGCCUUUCUUUAUUUGAAUCAGUACACUGUUGCCUCAAGUAGACUGUGUGUUUUUGUUUGCAAAAACGGAAGCAUGCGGACGAACGUGGUGAUUGAGUUGUUGAGAGUCAAAUCUCGAUAAUAAGUACUAGCUUCAGCGAUGGAUCGGUUGCAUCGAGUAUCGAUGAAGAACGCAG